This 167-nucleotide non-coding RNA is filed under the name human gut metagenome. The record is from RNAcentral.
UAUUGUGAGGUGAAAUCUGAAAGAAGUCAAUAGCAAAAUCUCGGUCUGACGAACAGAAAUCACAUAUAAGGCAAAAUUGAGCUGGGCGAGUUUGCCUAACAAAGCAAAGCACAAUAGUUAUCCGAGGCGCAUACAGUAAAUAUGGCAGAUAUAUAAGAGAAAGGUUG